RNAcentral lists this ribosomal RNA (521 nucleotides) under uncultured bacterium. RNAcentral's name for it is "bacterial SSU rRNA". It matches the Rfam family "Archaeal small subunit ribosomal RNA", at positions 345 to 866 of the family's 1478-position model. The record is from RNAcentral.
AACCUCCGCAAUGUGAGAAAUCGCGACGGGGGGAUCCCAAGUGCCAUUCUUAACGGGAUGGCUUUUCAUUAGUGUAAAGAGCUUUUGGAAUAAGGGCUGGGCAAGACCGGUGCCAGCCGCCGCGGUAACACCGGCAGCUCUAGUGGUAGCAGUUUUUAUUGGGCCUAAAGCGUCCGUAGCCGGUUUAAUAAGUCUCUGGUGAAAUCCUGUAGCUUAACUGUGGGAAUUGCUGGAGAUACUAUUAGACUUGAGACCGGGAGAGGUUAGAGGUACUCCCAGGGUAGAGGUGAAAUUCUGUAAUCCUGGGAGGACCGCCUGUUGCGAAGGCGUCUAACUGGAACGGUUCUGACGGUGAGGGACGAAAGUUAGGGGCGCGAACCGGAUUAGAUACCCGGGUAGUCCUAACUGUAAACGAUGCGGAUUUGGUGUUGGGGUGGCUUUGAGCUGCUCCAGUGCCGAAGGGAAGCUGUUAAGUCCGCCGCCUGGGAAGUACGGUCGCAAGACUGAAACUUAAAGGAAUU